ACGUCUUCCGGAGGAUAUAAAUUCAGGAUGUGUUCUGAGAGGAACACCCACAACUCGAGCUUGCGCCAUGUCUUCACUUCUUUCGCUGAUCGUGGACAAGGUCGUGGAAGUCCGAGAGUGGGUGCAGGCUAAAUUUCUCACACAGAAGCAGGAAGAAGCCAGAGAGGGUUCACUUGUUUCGCUGAUCAUGGACAAGGUCAUGAAAGUCCCAGAGCAGGUGGGGGCUGAAUUUCUCGCACAGAAGGUUUCAACCUGCACCACUGUACAGAGGCUGGAUUUUGGCAACAAAUUGGGCGAUUGGUGUGGGGUUGACUUAGGGGCAGCCCCACGGGGGUCCCCUGGCUUGAUCAGACUCUCCGAGGUCAUUCCUCCACGCCAGGCUCUUUUGAGAAGGCAGAGGGUUGGAAGAUUCCUUCAGAGGCCAGGUGGUCUGGGACCCUUGUCAAGAAGGCUGAGCUCGUCAUACCAGGUACUGCAUCUAGGCAGUGGGGGCUCUGAGUCAGAAGUGGAGGGUGAAGGAGGACCACCCUAG
Molecule: long non-coding RNA, 532 nt
Organism: Bos indicus x Bos taurus (hybrid cattle)
Lineage: Eukaryota; Metazoa; Chordata; Mammalia; Artiodactyla; Bovidae
Source: Ensembl